RNAcentral lists this ribosomal RNA (254 nucleotides) under uncultured bacterium. RNAcentral's name for it is "partial 16S ribosomal RNA". It matches the Rfam family "Bacterial small subunit ribosomal RNA", at positions 524 to 776 of the family's 1533-position model. The record is from RNAcentral.
UACGGGGGGAGCAAGCGUUGUUCGGAUUUACUGGGCGUAAAGGGCGCGUAGGCGGUCAGCACAAGUCAGUUGUGAAAUCUCCGGGCUUAACUCGGAAAGGUCAACUGAUACUGUGCGACUAGAGUGCGGAAGGGGCAACUGGAAUUCUCGGUGUAGCGGUGAAAUGCGUAGAUAUCGAGAGGAACACCUGCGGCGAAGGCGGGUUGCUGGGCCGACACUGACGCUGAUGCGCGAAAGCCAGGGAGCGAAGCGGG